AUCCUUUCGUAGUUCAUAAGUGUGAUGACUGUGAUUUCAUGCUCAUGCGCGAGAGAUGGGUGGGCCUCCCUCAAACUUUGUUACAAUGUUGGCCCAUUAGCCAUCUGAUG
Molecule: small nucleolar RNA, 110 nt
Organism: Nomascus leucogenys (northern white-cheeked gibbon)
Lineage: Eukaryota; Metazoa; Chordata; Mammalia; Primates; Hylobatidae
Rfam family: Small nucleolar RNA U13
Source: Rfam